GGAAUCCCCAAUAUGGCAGUAUUGAGAGGUGGAUACUUUAUGAGGUGACUGUGUCAGGAAGCCUCUGAUAUUAUGACUGUAUUAAUCCAUUCAUGGGUUAAUGGAUUAAUGCAUUAAUUAGUGGGUUAUCAUGGGAGUGGAACUGGUGGUUUUAUAAGAAGAGGAAGAGAGACCUGAACUUGCACACUCAGCCCUCUCACCAUGUGAUGCCCCGUGCCACCUUGGGACUUUGUAGAGAGUCCUCACCAACAAGAAGGCUCUUGCCAGAUGUGACCCUCCACCUUGGACUUCUUAGCUUCCAGAACUCAAAAAGGAAAAACAAAUGGAAAAAGAACCAGCCAUUGUAUCUGAUGCUGCUUCAAACAUUUCAUCACAGAAGUACAUUGAUAGUUUAAAAAAUAGCUACGCGGGAAGAGAACAUCAGAUGAUGAGAAUAAAAUUUGCAUAAGGCAUCCUACUCCUGGGAGCUGAAAGAAAAGGAGUGAGAAGCUACAUUCCCCCAAGCCCAGAGCAGAAUCUCAGUGUAUUCAUUUCCUGCCCAGCCUCCCUUUGGGGAGAGGAGAGCCUUUUGUUCCUCUGCUGGUGAGGACAGAGUUAACAUGACCCAGAAGAGACACAAUGAAGUCUUUCCCCUCUUCUUAUUCUGGCAUGCCUACUCUUCACUUCAAUGUCUAUUUGCACAAUCAUAAAUUCUGAACUCAGGAGGAUAAUCCCAGCCAAAGUCUACAUGUGCCGGAUACCAUAAUGUAAACUGCAUAUGUUGCAAGAAGCUGUUAAAUGGAACCAGUGAAUGAAAUCAUGGCCAGCUCAAUAUUUGGGUCUCUGGAUUUCCUCUCCUCUGUAAACCAAGGCCUCUCCUCUCAAUUCUAACUUUCUGACAUGCCUAUAAACAAAGGUAUUUUUGGCUACCAGAUCCCCUUGAGAUAUUCAGGAAUAGCCUCAAUUCCAGAGCUGUUCAGGCUUUGCUCAAGGGUACCAAGGGCCAGCCCUGCAGCUCUUUUCCCUCCGUAUAGUCAGCAGACAAUGAUGUGCACAGAGUACCCAAAAAAGCUUCACUUCUAUUCUUCAUGGGCCCAUCCCCACUGUCUUCCACUGGAAAGUUGACCCAGCAGACUGGUUCAGCAGGGAUGAAUCCAGUCCACAAAAUUAGGUUAGUAGUAGUUUGAGCUUCCAUCCAGCUAGGGAGAUAGAAACUUAUUUGAGCCAUUUUAGCUCUCCUGCCUCCCACCUCCCUGGGGUGGCACCCAAGUUUGAGGUGAUUAAGGGUUUUAUUUCAUUUCUGUUGCUAUAAAGGAAUACUGGAGGCUGGACAAUUUAUAAAGAAAAGAGGUUUAUUUGGCUCACGGUUCUGCAGGCUGUAUGAGAAGCAUGGCACCAGCAUUUGCUUCUGGUGUGGGACUCAGGCUGUUUCCACUCAUGGCAGAAGGGGAAGGGGAGCUGGCAUGUGCAGAGAUCACAUGACAGGAAAGGAAACCAGAAAGAGUGGGUGGAGAGGUGCUAGGCUCUUUUUAAAACCAGCUCUUGAGGGAACUAAUAGAGUGAGAACUGACACGUUAUCUUGAGGAUGGCACCAAGACAUUCAUGAGGGCUCUGCCCCCAUGACCUAAACACCUCCUAUUAGGCCCCACCUCCAACAUUGCAGAUCACAUUUCAACAGGAGGUUUGGGGAAAUCAAAUAUACAAACUAUAGCAUUAAGCAAUGCCCAGGUGUGAGAGGCAGACUUCUGGCCCUUGAUGUCCUCUGCACAGAACAUCAUCCACUGAAGCACACAUCUCCCUCCCUGGUCCCUGGCUAUUGGUCUAUGCAAGGUUAUGCUAAGGCAUCUGUUCAUCUUCAUAUGGCCCCUUCUGCUCCAGCCCCAUUCUCUUAACUUUAUUUAAGCUAUGAUGUUUGGGGUUCCUUCUGCUAUUUUCAAGCCCUUCUUCUGGGUUCUAAGAAUUUCUGUAAAAAUCACCUUUCUGAACUUGUCUUGUUUCCUCAGGCCUCUGCCUAGGAAGCAGGGCCCAGGCACUCUGUGAUCUGCUAGCUUCUAUAUUCUUGUUACUUCCCCCUGAGAGCCCAGAAUCCAACUCUGAAGCUAUUGCGAAACGCCACUCUGUAGUUCAGUAAGAAUUUCACUCAAAGAAGGAAAGAUUACACUACCGGAGGCUAAAGGUAAACCUCUCAUAGAGCUAGGAGUCCAUGAUUCUAUAAUUCACUGUCCUCAGGAAUCAUAUUUCCUCCCACUUUCUCUUUUGCAACACAUGGUCUAAAACUGAUUCAUUGGUAUAUUUUUACAUAUAUAUUUAUAACAUAUAUGCACAUACAAAACAUAUAUAACUAUAUAUAUACAUAUAUAUAUCUCUCUCUCUAUAUAUAUAUAGAUGUGAAUCUCUUCAGGCAGAAAGAACUGAGAUAUGUCUAAUGCUCUGGGUACAGGAUUUGAAUUUUCAUUAUUUAGGGACAGGCAACCUUGAAAACUUGCACCCAUUGGACAUUCCACAUAAAAAGGAUAAAAUGGAAAUAUAAUCAUAAUGAUAAUUUUAAAUAUUUCAUUCAAUAUGAAAUAUAGAUCUUCAUGUAUGAAUAUUUUAUCUGAGAAAUGGGUAAUCUCAGGUCAGGCAGCCAGUACACAUGCACAUACAUUCAGGGAGAGGGAAGUAGAAAGACUUCUGGGUUCUCAAUAUGGGGGCUCCAUAGGAACAAAUACCAGAGUGAAAUUCUGUAGUGUGAGAAAACUCACAAAGCUCCUCUAGGGCUUCUCCAUGCACAUUUAGCCCCGCCCUAACACCAACAGCCCAGAGCUCAUAUACAAGCUAUAUCUAUAUGUCCCAUUAGCACAGUAGCAUAAAAAUUUAAAAUCACCAUCAUCCUCUCUCCUCUCAGCACUGCCCACUCAGUUCAUUCUCCUUUGGUCAAGUGAUUAAGUGGUUAUAAGAUUAAGAUCUCAGUAUAACAGGGAUAGGAGAAUUAAAGAAAGACAAAUUCAUUGCAAAAAUAAAAUAAAAUUUUACAUAUAGAGAGAGAGAGAACAGAAAAAUAUAAAAAGAAAAUUCAUUUAUCAUCUCACAACUCAGAAAUCCAGAAAUAUCUACUCCUAAUAUUAUAAAGUGUGUUCUUCCAGUUGUGUGUGUGUGCAUUUAUUCAUUUUCAAAUAUACUUAACAAGAUUGGAAUAAAACAGUUUGGCCUUUUAUGCUUUGCAUACUUAGCAUUUUGUCACAUGUACUUUACACAAGAAAUGAAUUUUAAUGUAUACUUGGCAUAUUGCACCUUUAUGAAAAAUUUUAAACAUUCAGGUUAUUCGCAAUGUUUGACUAUUAUAAAUAGUACUAUAAUAAUACUCUAAUGAUCAUCUUUGUGCACAGAUUUAAUAGCCUUCAUGUGAGAAAUAUCUAAACAAAAAAGAUUAAAUUAUUUUAAGUAGUUUGAUAUAUGUUGCCAAAUUACCCUCUAAAAACAAUUUAUCAAUAUUCUAUCAUCCAGCCCCCUUACGAACAUGGGUUUUAUUGUCUUUGACCUUUAAAUAAAUUAAAAUAAAUAUAUCUAUAUAUUUGCAUAUAUCUAAAUUUUUUUUAUAGAUAUCUUUAGGCAGAGUUAACUGAGAUAUGGCUAAUGCUCUGAGCGUAGGGUUUUCAUUUCAUUGUUUAGAGACAGGCAACCUUGAAAUGUUUCACCCAUUGAACAUUUUACAAAAAAAAGGAAAAUAUAAUCAUAAUGAUAGUUUUAAAUAUUUCAUUCAGUAUGAAAUAUAGAUCUUAAUGUAUUAACAUUUUAUCAAUAGGUUUAAAUUUAUUUGAUUAUUAGUUAUGUGUAGUAGGCUAUACAUACCUCCAAAAGUAUCAGGUCUUAAUCCCUGAAAUACGCAAAUGUUACCUUAUUUGAAAAAUUGAUUUUUGCAGAUGUGAUUAAAUUAAGGAUCUUGAGAUUAGGGAUUAUCCUGGAUUAUCUGGCUGGGUCUGACAUGCAAUCACAAAUAUUCUUAAAAGAGAAAGGAAGCAGAAAAUUAGACACACUGAAUAGAAAGCAGAGAUUGAAGUGAUAUGAACACAAGCCGGAAUGCCUGUGGUCACUAGAAGCUGCAAAAGGGAUUUUUCUCUAGAUCCUGCAGGGGAAGCAUGGCCUUGCUGUUGACCCAGUGAAACUACUUUCAAACUUCUGAACUAUAGAACUAUAAGAAAAUAUGGGCUUUGUUGUUUUAAGCUACCAAGUUUGUGAAAUUUGUUACAGCAUCUAUAGCAAACUAGUACAGGUUUAACUUAUCUUCACAUAUGUAUUGACUACUGUAUUUCUUCCUGUGUUUAAAAUGUCUAUUCAUUACAUUUCUUGCUCAUUUUUCUAUUAUGAAAUUUGUUUUUUCUUCUUGAUUUUUCAAAUAUAUUGAUAGCUUUGUAUUUAUACAUUUAUAGCUCUAUCUUGGUGGUGCAAAUAAUCCCCAAAUACACA
Molecule: long non-coding RNA, 4425 nt
Filed under: Homo sapiens (human)
Lineage: Eukaryota; Metazoa; Chordata; Mammalia; Primates; Hominidae
Description: HSALNT0135402
Source: RNAcentral